Molecule: ribosomal RNA, 493 nt
Filed under: uncultured bacterium
Lineage: Bacteria
Description: partial 16S ribosomal RNA
Rfam family: Bacterial small subunit ribosomal RNA
Source: RNAcentral
GAGUGAACGCUGGCGGUAGGCCUAACACCUGCAAGUCGAACGGCAGCACAGUAAGAGCUUGCUCUUACGGGUGGCGAGUGGCGGACGGGUGAGGAAUACAUCGGAAUCUACUUUUUCGUGGGGGAUAACGUAGGGAAACUUACGCUAAUACCGCAUACGACCUACGGGUGAAAGCAGGGGAUCUUCGGACCUUGCGCGAUUGAAUGAGCCGAUGUUGGAUUAGCUAGUUGGCGGGGUAAAGGCCCACCAAGGCGACGAUCCGUAGCUGGUCUGAGAGGAUGAUCAGCCACACUGGAACUGAGACACGGUCCAGACUCCUACGGGAGGCAGCAGUGGGGAAUAUUGGACAAUGGGCGCAAGCCUGAUCCAGCCAUACCGCGUGGGUGAAGAAGGCCUUCGGGUUGUAAAGCCCUUUUGUUGGGAAAGAAAAGCAGCAGGUUAAUACCCCGCUGUUCUGACGGUACCCAAAGAAUAAGCACCGGCUAACUUCGUG